This 638-nucleotide ribosomal RNA is filed under the name uncultured bacterium. RNAcentral's name for it is "bacterial SSU rRNA". It matches the Rfam family "Bacterial small subunit ribosomal RNA", at positions 114 to 750 of the family's 1533-position model. The record is from RNAcentral.
CGCGUAUCCAACCUUCCGUACACUCAGGGAUAGCCUUUCGAAAGAAAGAUUAAUACCUGAUGGUAUGAUGAGAUUGCAUGAUAGCAUCAUUAAAGAUUUAUCGGUGUACGAUGGGGAUGCGUUCCAUUAGGUAGUAGGCGGGGUAACGGCCCACCUAGCCAACGAUGGAUAGGGGUUCUGAGAGGAAGGUCCCCCACAUUGGAACUGAGACACGGUCCAAACUCCUACGGGAGGCAGCAGUGAGGAAUAUUGGUCAAUGGACGAGAGUCUGAACCAGCCAAGUAGCGUGAAGGAUGAAGGUCCUACGGAUUGUAAACUUCUUUUAUAAGGGAAUAAACCCUCCCACGUGUGGGAGCUUGUAUGUACCUUAUGAAUAAGCAUCGGCUAACUCCGUGCCAGCAGCCGCGGUAAUACGGAGGAUGCGAGCGUUAUCCGGAUUUAUUGGGUUUAAAGGGAGCGCAGACGGGUCGUUAAGUCAGCUGUGAAAGUUUGGGGCUCAACCUUAAAAUUGCAGUUGAUACUGGCGUCCUUGAGUGCGGUUGAGGUGUGCGGAAUUCGUGGUGUAGCGGUGAAAUGCUUAGAUAUCACGAAGAACUCCGAUUGCGAAGGCAGCACACUAAUCCGUAACUGACGUUCAU